RNAcentral lists this ribosomal RNA (1959 nucleotides) under Triticum aestivum (bread wheat). RNAcentral describes it as "partial small subunit ribosomal RNA". The record is from RNAcentral. Lineage: Eukaryota; Viridiplantae; Streptophyta; Magnoliopsida; Poales; Poaceae.
AUGCAACACAUUGCACUGCAGCGCGCGCACACCAUGGAUGUACUCCUGUCACUCGUCUCGCUUCUUCUGAUUACUGGAGGAGGCAGUCCUCAUGUGAGCUUCGCCAAUGCGGCCACGACGAACUCGGUGACGCCGAGGGCGUACUGGGAGGCGGUGCUUCCCGGAACUCCAAUUCCCCCAGCCGUCAGCGACCUGUUAGUCCAACAAGAAGUGCGUGCCUCUCCAGACGAUAUUGAUCUCAAGUUUGUCAAAGGACUACGAAAAAUCGGACCAUAUUAUAAGAAACUCAAGUCAGAAGCUGAUCAAGGGGAAGAACAUAGUCAUACUGCAUCACAAGCUGAACAUAAGUUAAAGGAGGACUCUUUGUCGUAUGGAUCAAAAGAUGGAGACAAUUUAAAGGAGGUCUCUGUGUCAUAUGGGGCAAAAGUUGGAGAGAGACCGGAAAAAGUCUCGGUGUCUUAUGGGGUAGGUGCCAAAGAUGUUCCAAAGAGAGACUUCGUGGCACAAGAAGAUGUGAAGGAGGUUUCUCUGUCAUAUGAAUCAAAAGGUGAAAAUAAUUUAAAAGAAGUAUCUGUGUCACAUGGAUCAAAAAAUAGAGACUUUGUGGCACAAGAAGGAGAUCUAAAAGAAGUCUCAGUGUCAUAUGGGUUAGAUGAAGGAAAAAAUGAACAUAUUGAAGUCUUGAAUCAAGGUGAAGAUGAUCCACAUAGAGUCACAAUGUCAUACAGGCCAGAACAAGAAGAUGAUCCCAAUAAAGCUACAAUGACAUACAAGGCAGAACAAGAAGAUGAUCCCAAUAAAGUUACAAUGUCAUAUAGGUCAGAACAAGAGGAAGAUCCACAUAAAGUCACAAUGUCAUAUGGGUCGAAACAAGAAGAUGAUCCCAAUAAAGUUACAAUGACAUAUAGGUCAGAACAAGAAGAAGAUCCACAUAAAGUUACAAUGUCAUAUGGGUCGCAACAAGAAGAUGAUCCCAAUAAAGCUACGAUGACAUAUAGGUCAGAACAACAAGAAGAUCCACAUAAAGUUACAAUGUCAUACGGGUCAAACCAUGCAGAGUAUACAAAUAAACUUACAAUGACAUAUGGGUCAAAAGAUGAAGUGGAUCCAAACAAAGCUACAAUGUCAUAUAGGUCGGAACAUGAAAAUGACCUAAAGACCGUUUCUACGGGGCAUAUGGCACACAUAGAAGCAACAGGAAAGGCGAGCCACCAUGUUCACUCUCAUAGCCACAUGAACAAAAGACAGGCGGAUGUUUUCUUCUUCCGCGACAUGCUGCGGCCAGGGUCAAUGAUCACCCCGACCAUCCCGCCGACCAACUCCUUGCCGACGCUUCUUCCCCGCCACGUCGCCGACUCCCUUCCAUUCUCCAUCGAGCGCCUCCCGGACAUCGUCGCGAUGUUUGCGCCAACGUCCCUUGGGAUGAUUAGAGACAUUCGGUGGACGCUGGACACCUGUGAGCACCCACGGACGCUCCCCGGCGAAAAAGCAGGAUGCGCCACCUCCCUCGAGUCCCUCGGCGAGCUCACGACGUCCCUUCUCAGAACGUCCAACGUCCGUGCGUUCUCCGCCGCCAAGCUUCCCGUGGAAGCCCCGGGCACACCGGCACUGCGGGGGAGGUACAACGUGACGGCUGCCCGAAGGCUCUCCAAGUCAUCGGAGAUCGUGACCUGCCACGACUUGACGUACCCGUAUGCGGUGUACUACUGCCACACAUCCAACCCCACCGCCGCGUACGCGGUGACGCUGGCGAGCGUGGAUGGGGGCGCGGCGCCAGCGACAAUGGAGGCGUUGGCCGUGUGCCACCUCGACACGUCGCAAUGGAGCCUGAAGCACCCGUUCUUUGCGCUGCACAACGUCAAGCCAGGGGAUGUCGCUGUGUGCCACUUCCUCACCAAGCUAAGCGUGGUGUGGGUGCAGGCCGGCGAGCCCGGAAACGCACAUGCGGCGGCCCGGUAG